UCGAAAUUCUUGUCUCUCGGGAUUCUUUUCUUUCACAUCAUCGUAGUUUUGUUGCUCCGGUAGCCACUGUCUGAGGUUCUUCUUGGGACUUAUGGUAUCUCCGAACUUAUACACAGAUAAAGACAGAGGUGCAAGGUUGAAACGAAUGAAGAAAUGACAGAAACUGAUUCAUGCUGCUUGAAUACACAUGGAAAUAUAAUAUUUGAGUUUGAUCUGAGUGUAUGUACAAAUGGCAGCCAUGCAAAAGGGUGAGAUUCAAAUUCAUCAAGGCUUCUGUUGUGCAACACAGUAAAUGCAGCUGAGAUGUAUUAUUAGAGUGAAGAGCCUCAAUCACAGAUAUUAUGUUAAGCUUCCAAUCCUGAGCUUAGUUAUUUUAAAUGAGAAUUACAAUCUUACAAUCACAUUCAG
Molecule: small RNA, 408 nt
Filed under: Vigna angularis var. angularis
Lineage: Eukaryota; Viridiplantae; Streptophyta; Magnoliopsida; Fabales; Fabaceae
Description: Non-protein coding transcript
Source: RNAcentral